Juglans microcarpa x Juglans regia is the source of this 764-nucleotide long non-coding RNA. RefSeq lists it as uncharacterized. NCBI's taxonomy places the organism in Eukaryota, Viridiplantae, Streptophyta, Magnoliopsida, Fagales, Juglandaceae. The transcript is spliced from 2 exons. The record is from RefSeq and is a predicted model, not a curated record.
AACUCUCUCUCUCUUUCUCUCCUCGACCGCCGCUUCAAGAUCGACUCGAUUUACUGAGCGCACAGCAGAGUUGGGAAAGUAUAAAGCCUUCUGAGAGACAAACUCAAAAUAAGGUGCAUACCCUUUUAGCAUUCAGGCAUGUCUGCCAAGGAUGAGUCCCCUAUAUGUUUUGUAUACGCACGAAGUAAUAUAAUCCACCAAAAUCCAGAAUCAACAGGAGCUACUCUUCCUAUUGUACUCUCACCAAAGUCUGUAAUCAAAGUUUCAUAGUUUCUUUCUGGAUCGUGGAUCACUUUAAAACUUGCAGGCAUAACUCCUCCUCCUAGUUUGAACCGAUCUAUCAUCUUCUCCCUUGAUUGAAGGUGAAGGUGAGAACUGUGUAUGGAAGUGUGUAGAAAGAUGGGGGGGGGGGGGGGGCAUGACUGGAGGAAAGACUAGUGAUCUUUCACGUCACUCUGUCCAUAACAUUUUCUUCAGUUUGCCUAGCCUCUUUUUCCCAUAGCUAAUUAUUUCAAUUGGCAAGAAAAACAAAAUGCUCUCACCUUCCUACAGUUUGGCUCAUUAUCUAGCUUGUAGAUUUUUUUAGGUACUUUAUUUGGGGGAUUUUUUUUUAUUUGUUUUUAUUCAAUGAUGGGAUCUUUUCCUUUCGAUAUUUACCAUUUUACAAUAACCCUUAACAUAUUGUAUGAGUAUCUAGCUUAAAUAUUGAUAAGAUAUUAUUGAACUGGAAAAAAAAAAUCUCUGCCAUCAGAUUUGAAAGCUAC